This 163-nucleotide ribosomal RNA is filed under the name uncultured eukaryote. RNAcentral describes it as "partial 18S ribosomal RNA". It matches the Rfam family "Eukaryotic small subunit ribosomal RNA", at positions 1299 to 1458 of the family's 1831-position model. The record is from RNAcentral.
UCGUGGCUUGAGCCGUCUGUUUUAUUACGAUAACGAACGAGACCUUUUCGGUUAGUGUGUUUGCGCUUAGGCCUUGUGCGUAGGUUUGCCUCUUCUUCGGAGGGGGCUGCAAAUGUCUAGCCAGACUUGCGCAGCAAUGCGUAGGAAGACGAAGGCAAUAACA